GUAUAAAGUUUAUAUAGGCACUGAGGCCCAAAUUAUACAUUCUGUUACAUACUAGGUGUAUAUGAAAAACGUAGGCUUGGAAGUGCAAAGAAAGCCGACACAAAGAGCGCAGCAUUCCUCCCGACCGAGUUACCUCGGAAAAUUCAUCCAGGUCUACAAGAGGUGCACAGGUGGAGAGAUGAGGAUGGCGGGUGUGCACAUGCCCCCACAAGAGAGCCAGCAACAACCACACCAAGUUCAUUCAAUAAUGAUCCUUCCGCAGGUUCACCUACGGAAA
This 277-nucleotide unclassified non-coding RNA is filed under the name uncultured fungus. Its description in RNAcentral is "sequence contains ITS1". Lineage: Eukaryota; Fungi. The record is from RNAcentral.